Molecule: ribosomal RNA, 500 nt
Filed under: uncultured bacterium
Lineage: Bacteria
Description: partial 16S ribosomal RNA
Rfam family: Bacterial small subunit ribosomal RNA
Source: RNAcentral
GGUGAACGCUGGCGGCAGGCCUAACACACGCAAGUCGAGCGGAUGAAGAGAGCUUGCUCUCUGAUUCAGCGGCGGACGGGUGAGUAAUGCCUAGGAAUCUGCCCGAUAGUGGGGGACAACGUUUCGAGAGGAACGCUAAUACCGCAUACGUCCUACGGGAGAAAGUGGGGGAUCUUCGGACCUCCCGCUAUCAGAUGAGCCUAGGUCGGAUUAGCUAGUUGGUGGGGUAAUGGCCGACCAAGGCGACGAUCCGUAACUGGUCUGAGAGGAUGAUCAGUCACACUGGAACUGAGACACGGUCCAGACUCCUACGGGAGGCAGCAGUGGGGAAUAUUGGACAAUGGGCGAAAGCCUGAUCCAGCCAUGCCGCGUGUGUGAAGAAGGUCUUCGGAUUGUAAAGCACUUUAAGUUGGGAGGAAGGGCAGUAAAUUAAUACUUUGCUGUUUUGACGUUACCGACAGAAUAAGCACCGGCUAACUCUGUGCCAGCCGCCGCAGUAA